This is an RNA transcript of Sapajus apella (tufted capuchin), 595 nucleotides long. RefSeq lists it as uncharacterized. The transcript has a single exon. Lineage: Eukaryota; Metazoa; Chordata; Mammalia; Primates; Cebidae. The record is from RefSeq and is a predicted model, not a curated record.
CUACCUGUGGUCCUAGCUCUUCCCAAUGUCCUGCAUGUCUGCCCCCCAGCACCCAGGCUGCCAGCCAGGGCACCUUAGCAUGGCCCCAGCAUACCACUGUAGGGAGCCUGGAGUAUCCUUCCAUUUCUCAGCCAAGUUAUCAGUCUUUUGAGACUGAAGUCACACAGGCGGGAAUGUAGAUCUUGCACGCCUUCUCUAUGGGCACCUGGCCACCUUCACCUUCUCCCCCUACCCCUUAGCAGGAAUAGGGUGUUCUCCGUGUUCUAGGUAGUUUUCAGUGUCCUCCCUUCUUUCAAAGCACUUUGCUUGCAUUUUUUUUUUUUUUUUUUUAAGAGUCCUUCAUAGAGCUCAGUCAGGAAGGGGAUGGGGCACCAAGCCAAGCCCCCAGCAUUGGGAGCAGCCAGGCCACAGCUGCUGCUCCCAUAGGCCUCAGGCUGCAAGCAGGAGACAGCACUGGCCCUUGGCCAGCGUCCUACCCUGCCCAACUCCAAGGAUGAGCUCUGGGUAUGGAUCGCUGGCCCUUAGGCUCUUGCUUCUGGGGCUGCUGGAUGGAGGGUCAGUGUGACUGAAUAAAGUUCCAUUUUGUGAUGGUGGA